GUCUUGAACUCUCGACCUCAGAUAAUCCGCCCGCCUCUGGCCCUUCUUAGUAGUGGUGUUUUCUAAACAGGUUAGAUCAGAAUUUGACACCUACUGAAAUCUCCAGGGUGGCCCCUCCCAAGGUCAAAUUGCACAUCUUGCCGAUGAGAAGAGCCUUCACUUCUUGAGCAUCUACUCAGCAGCAAGUGAUUUCUCUAAUCUUCACAACACCCUCUCAAGGCAAGGGAUCAUGCACCACACUUGGCAAUCUAGGAAAGUGAAGUUCAAGAACAAGCCCCAGGACACAUGGCUAGUGGCAGCGAGGCACAGAGCUGGAACUCCAACCCAGGCCUGUCUAACCCUAAAUCUCCUCCUAUCCACCCUCCUUGCUGCCACAGAGGGUGACUCAGAGGUACUCAGUCUGGGGAAUUCAAGCCAGUAUCCCAGGAAGUGGAAUUUUCUCCAGUGUCCUAGGAAGGAGGGAUUACCAUGGCAUGGGGUGGACCAGGUAGACACAAGAGGCAGUGAAGUUGCAUAAAGUGGUGACUAAAGAGAAUGGAAUCUGCUGUGGUUUGGAUAUGGUUGUGUCCACCUAAACUCAUGCUGAAAUUUGACCCUCAGUGUGGGGGUGUUGGGAGGUGGGGCGUAGUGGGAGGUGUCUGGGUCAUGGGGGCAGAUCUGUCAGGAAUGGCUUGGUGCCAUUCUCGCAGUGGAGAGUGAGUUUUCACCCUGGCAAGGCUGGAUUCUUGUAGGAAUGGAUUUGUUCCCAAGACAGUGGGUUGUUAUAAAGCCAGGAUGCCCCUUGGGUUUUCCCUUCUUUGCAAGUGUUCACUCUCCCUUUGACCUUCUGUAUGUUGCAGCUCUCACCAGAGGCUGAGCAGAUGCUGAUGCCAUGCUUCUUGAUUUUCCCAGCCAACAGAAUUGUGAAUUGAAUAAACCUCUCUUCUUUACAAAUUACCCAGUCUCAGGUAUCCUGUUAUGGCAACACAAAAUGGACUAAGACAGGAUGUCGCUAUCAAUCACGCUUCGACUGAGUACAGCCAAACCAGGAUACUCAGGGAAUUGGAACCUGUUAUCAGACUUCCAUUUAGUACAGACACAGCGCCAGGGGACUGAGCAUUCUUCGGCAACACCCUUUGGACCCCUUCUCUACACCAAUGCUGUGUGACCUGAAGGGCUGGGGACAUGAAGGAGCAGCUCAGCUAAGGUGACCCAGAUGGUUGGGCUCGGAGCUGGAAGAACACUGUGGUCUCCUACCUCCCAAUUCCUGCAUCUGUCCUGCUUGUAAGAGGCUUGCCAAGAACAGGAGCUCUUGUUUGUAGGUCUCUAGGGAUGGCCACCGCAGGGAGUGUGAUUUGAAGAUGGGUUCGGGGUGACAUUACAGGCCCCCUUUAGGCUCUGCUGGUUGCAGGCCAGCUCUCUGGGGUGCCUUUCUGAUGGCUGCUAUUUUAAAGGCAGAUAGGAUGACAUUAACAACUUUUAUCAUUCAACUAGCAAGGGCUCAGGACGGGCAGCCCCCUUCUGGGAAUGUGCCUAACUCCUGCCCCAGAAUGGAGGAGUCUCUGUGGCUCUAGGGGAGCUGGCCUUCUGUGGAGUCUGAGCAAUGUACUGCACAGGGAGAAGACGCUGCCAGCUGAUACCAGUGUCUCUAUGCAGAGACAUUUCCAGGACACCACGUUAAGCAGCAGAGACACAAGAAGUCAAGGCCCAUGUGCUCUGGUGUGGACGUGUGCCUCCUGUGCCUCAGUGGCAUCAUCUGUACCAUGGGAGGUGUGUAAUGAGGGGUGCAAUCACGACUGCAAGUGCACGUACAUAGUAGAUGCCCAGGAAGUGCCAGUCCCCAUCUCCUUCCCAGUUUCUUCAGAGCCUUCUGGAAGGCACUGGCAUAGCCCAGUCCUGAGGCAUUGCUUUUUCUUUCAUGGAUGAUCAGGAGCUUCUGUGAUUUCUUCCCCCUCACUCUUCAUUUUGCCAAGAUGUCGCCCAUAGUAACCUCAGCAGUGGAGCGGGGAUUCUGCACUGUUCCACUGCCCGGGGCUGCACAUCCACGUGAGCGGGGCCGACCCGUCCCAGAACGCUUUGCCCUUGGAAGGCAGCAUCACCUGCAGGGGCAAUGCUGUGGACAGCUCUGGCAUGUCCUCCAGGGCCCUGGCAUGGUCAGUGAGAAAAGGCCCCCAGGCGUGGGCUUCUCCCAUCAGUCAGGUUCAGAAGGCUUCCUGGGGUAAGUAGAGACGCUCCCUACCCAACUGAGUUGUUAAAAUGACAGGAGGGAGAGGGGAAGGUCUGGGCCUGUGGCACUGUGAUUUUUUUUUUCUUUCUUUCUUUUUUUUUUUUUUUGGAGACUCGUUGGGGUAGAAAUGAGGACAGGAAGAAGUACAAUCCGUCUGGGAUUGGUUUAUUUUUAUUGCUUUUUAAAACCAUGUGACUAAUUGGUGUUCAUUGAAAAAGAGAAAACAAAAAUAAGCCAAGAGAAGACAGCAAAAAUAGUCUGUUAACAUCUUGGCAAAUAUCCUUUUUCUCUGCAUAGAAACAGAGAAUACUUUUGUUUCACUUAUAAAAUGUUUCUUGCUGUACACAGCUUUAUAACCUGCUUUUUUCUUAAUGGAACAAUAUACUAGGACAUGUUUUCAGGCCAACAGAUAAAUAUACUUCACUUGCAUUGAUGCUAUUGGCACCAUGGUGUUCUGGUGGUUGGUAAUUUACCCUGUCAUUCUGUCUCCCUUUACUCAGUGGCAAAAAUGACCUGGGCACCUGCCCCUGGGCCUGGGCUGGACAUCGGUCCUUGGCAGAUGGGGAAGGUUGGUGACCAGCAAGGCACAGAAUAAGGACACAUGGUCCCAGCAGACCCUUGGGAUGACCUUGACCACUUGGACCUUGGAGAGAGAGGGGACAGGAGAACAGAGGGCAAUGCCACAUGGAGGGGAGGGUGCAGAUGGCUGGUGGCUGGAACUCCGGGAGGCUGAGCAGUGGGGGUGGCAGGAGAGAACUGGCUCCUUCUAGAUAGGGGAAUAUCGUGGUUAGGGUUCUGGGGUCAGAUUGGAUCUGGGCUCUGUCACCUACUAGCUGAGGAAUAAAUAAUUGAGCCUUGGGGCCGGGCGCGGUGGCUCAUGCCUGUAAUCCCAGCACUUUGGGAGGUCAAGGCGGACGGAUCACCUGAGGUCGGGAGUUCAAGACCAGCCUGACCAACAUGGAGAAACCCCAUCUCUACUAAAAAUACAAAAUUAUUAGCCGGGGUGGUGGCGCAUACCUGUAAUCCCAGCUACUUGGGAGGCUGAGGCAGGAGAAUCACUUGAACCUGGGAGGCAGAGGUUGUAGUGAGCCGAGAUCACGCCAUUGCUCUCCAGCCUGGGCAACAAGAGCGAAACUCCAUCUCAAAAAUAAAAUAAAAUAAAAUAAAUAAAUAAUUGAGCCUUGGAUCAUCACCUAUAAAACUAAUAAUAGAUCAGAUUGAUGUGCCAGGAUUAAAUGAAAGAAUCUACAAGCUAUAAAAAGUGCUGCGUGGCAGCUGCCUUUAAACUUA
Macaca mulatta (Rhesus monkey) is the source of this 3496-nucleotide non-coding RNA. The record is from RefSeq and is a predicted model, not a curated record. Lineage: Eukaryota; Metazoa; Chordata; Mammalia; Primates; Cercopithecidae.